UACGAAGGGGGCUAGCGUUGCUCGGAAUCACUGGGCGUAAAGCGCACGUAGGCGGCUUUCUAAGUCAGGGGUGAAAUCCUGGAGCUCAACUCCAGAACUGCCUUUGAUACUGGAAAGCUUGAGUUCGGGAGAGGUGAGUGGAACUGCGAGUGUAGAGGUGAAAUUCGUAGAUAUUCGCAAGAACACCGGUGGCGAAGGCGGUUCUCUGGGCCUUACCUGACGCUGAGGAGCGAAAGCAUGGGGAGCAAACAGG
This 253-nucleotide ribosomal RNA is filed under the name uncultured bacterium. RNAcentral's name for it is "partial 16S ribosomal RNA". It matches the Rfam family "Bacterial small subunit ribosomal RNA", at positions 524 to 776 of the family's 1533-position model. The record is from RNAcentral.